This 292-nucleotide ribosomal RNA is filed under the name uncultured bacterium. RNAcentral's name for it is "partial 16S ribosomal RNA". The record is from RNAcentral.
GGACUACUAGGGUAUCUAAUCCUGUUUGCUCCCCACGCUUUCGAACAUGAGCGUCAGUACCGAGCCAGGUGGCCGCCUUCGCCACUGGUGUUCUUCCUAAUAUCUACGAAUUUCACCUCUACACUAGGAAUUCCGCCACCCUCUCUCGGACUCAAGCAUUCCCGUUUCAAAGGCAAUUCUGGAGUUGAGCCCCAGGCUUUCACCUCUGACAUGGAAUACCGCCUACGUUCGCUUUACGCCCAGUAAUUCCGAACAACGCUAGCCCCCUUCGUAUUACCGCGGCUGCUGGCAC